This 683-nucleotide ribosomal RNA is filed under the name uncultured archaeon. RNAcentral describes it as "bacterial SSU rRNA". It matches the Rfam family "Archaeal small subunit ribosomal RNA", at positions 105 to 785 of the family's 1478-position model. The record is from RNAcentral.
UCAACUACCCUGGUGGAUCGCCAUAACCUCGGGAAACUGAGGCUAAUAGCGAAUAUCGCUUCCGAGCUGGAACAGCUGGGAGCGUGAAACGCUCCGGUGCCACAGGAUGUGACUGCGGCCGAUUAGGUAGAUGGUGGGGUAACGGCCCACCAUGCCGAUAAUCGGUACGGGUUGUGAGAGCAAGAGCCCGGAGACGGACUCUGAGACAAGAGUCCGGGCCCUACGGGGCGCAGCAGGCGCGAAACCUUUACACUGCGCGACAGCGCGAUAGGGGGACACCGAGUGCGAGGGCAUAGAGCCCUCGCUUUUGUGUACCGUAAGGUGGUACACGAAUAAGGGCUGGGCAAGACCGGUGCCAGCCGCCGCGGUAACACCGGCAGCCCGAGUGAUGGCCGCUAUUAUUGGGCCUAAAGCGUCCGUAGCCGGCCGUUCAGGUCCGUCGGGAAAUCCACUGGCUCAACCAGUGGGCGUCCGGCGGAAACCGUUCGGCUUGGGACAGGAAGACCAGAGGGGUACGUCCGGGGUAGGAGUGAAAUCCCGUAAUCCUGGACGGACCAUCGGUGGCGAAAGCGCCUCUGGAGGACUGAUCCGACGGUGAGGGACGAAAGCUGGGGUCUCGAACCGGAUUAGAUACCCGGGUAGUCCCAGCCGUAAACGAUGCUCGCUAGGUGUGGCGCAGGCUA